Long non-coding RNA from Bufo bufo (common toad), 150 nucleotides. RefSeq lists it as uncharacterized. The record is from RefSeq and is a predicted model, not a curated record. Lineage: Eukaryota; Metazoa; Chordata; Amphibia; Anura; Bufonidae. The transcript is spliced from 3 exons.
GCGCUGAUUCGAAGUGCUACCACAUUACUGCUACUACUCAUCAUAUUUAUUAUUGUCUACGUUUUUGUCCUUUAUGUGACUAACUAAUAAAAUAUAUUGUGAUUUACGUACAUGUGUGUUGUUGUUUAUCGGAUCUAUGAGGUGGUGCUC